Long non-coding RNA from Uloborus diversus, 387 nucleotides. RefSeq lists it as uncharacterized. The transcript has 3 exons. Lineage: Eukaryota; Metazoa; Arthropoda; Arachnida; Araneae; Uloboridae. The record is from RefSeq and is a predicted model, not a curated record.
AAGUAUUGUGAGGAUGUAGCAAAUACUUCUGUGUGGGGUGGUCAUGUUGAAAUACAAGCACUUUCUAAUAUCUGUGGUUCUCCUAUUGAGAUAAUUCAGGCAACUGGACCUAGUGUUAUUAUUGGGGAAGAAAUGAAGAAUUCUAGAUUAAUUAUAAGUUAUCAUAAGCAUAUAUAUGGACUUGGUGCACAUUAUAAUUCUGUUGUACCUGCCAGUUCUGAAACUACAGAUUGAGAGAAGAAAUGCAUAGAUUGAGAUAUGUUGUUAAAGUUCCUUUCUUAAAAGACUUUAUUUAUAAAGAACAAUUGCAGAAACAUUUGUAAAUGCAUGAGCAUAUUUUUACCCAUGUGUACCUAUAAUGGGCAGUAAGCGAUUUUAACUAUCAUA